This 374-nucleotide ribosomal RNA is filed under the name uncultured bacterium. RNAcentral's name for it is "bacterial SSU rRNA". It matches the Rfam family "Bacterial small subunit ribosomal RNA", at positions 30 to 404 of the family's 1533-position model. The record is from RNAcentral.
AUUGAACGCUGGCGGCAUGCCUUACACAUGCAAGUCGAACGGCAGCACGGGGGCAACCCUGGUGGCGAGUGGCGAACGGGUGAGUAAUGCAUCGGAACGUGCCCAGUAGUGGGGGAUAGCUAGUCGAAAGAUUAGCUAAUACCGCAUACGACCUGUGGGUGAAAGCGGGGGAUUCGCAAGAACCUCGCGCUAUCGGAGCGGCCGAUGUCUGAUUAGCUAGUGGCGGGGUAAAGCCCACCAAGGCUUCGAUCAGUAGCUGGUCUGAGAGGACGACCAGCCACACUGGGACUGAGACACGGCCCAGACUCCUACGGGAGGCAGCAGUGGAGAAUUUUGGACAAUGGGCGCAAGCCUGAUCCAGCCAUGCCGCGUGC